This 505-nucleotide ribosomal RNA is filed under the name Heterixalus betsileo (Betsileo reed frog). RNAcentral describes it as "partial 16S ribosomal RNA". It matches the Rfam family "Bacterial large subunit ribosomal RNA", at positions 1940 to 2607 of the family's 2925-position model. Lineage: Eukaryota; Metazoa; Chordata; Amphibia; Anura; Hyperoliidae. The record is from RNAcentral.
UCAUAACCGUGCGAAGGUAGCAUAAUAAAUUGUUCUCUAAAUAGGGACUAGUAUGAAAGGCACCACGAGGGCUUAACUGUCUCCCUUUUCCAAUUAAUGAAACUGAUCUUCUCGUGAAGAAGCGAGAAUAAAAAUAUAAGACGAGAAGACCCCAUGGAGCUUUAAACUNAUCAUCAUUUACUCUUUAUUACAUCACUAUAUGCAGUAAAAUUGUUACCUGAGAGUUUUCGGCUGGGGUGACCCUGGAGCAAAACAAAUCCUCCAGGAUGAACGGAAUAANAAUCCUAAUCAAAGAGCUACAGCUCUAAGAAUCAAAAUAUUGACAUAAUUUGAUCCAAUUACUUGAUCAACGAACCAAGUUACCCUGGGGAUAACAGCGCAAUCCAUUUCAAGAGCCCCUAUCGACAAAUGGGUUUACGACCUCGAUGUUGGAUCGGGGUAUCCCGGUGGCGCAGCCGCUACUAAAGGUUCGUUUGUUCAACGAUUAAUAACCCCACGUGAUCUG